GCCAGGUGUGGUGGCACACACCUGUAAUCCCAGCUACUCGGGAGGCUGAGGCAGGAGAAUUGCUUGAACCCAGAAGGCAGAGGUUGCAGUGAGCCAAGAUAGUGCCACUGCACUCCAGCCUGGGUUACAGAGCAAGACUCUGUCUCUA
This 148-nucleotide non-coding RNA is filed under the name Nomascus leucogenys (northern white-cheeked gibbon). Lineage: Eukaryota; Metazoa; Chordata; Mammalia; Primates; Hylobatidae. The record is from Rfam by way of RNAcentral.